Cornus florida is the source of this 2555-nucleotide long non-coding RNA. RefSeq lists it as uncharacterized. The transcript is spliced from 2 exons. The record is from RefSeq and is a predicted model, not a curated record. NCBI's taxonomy places the organism in Eukaryota, Viridiplantae, Streptophyta, Magnoliopsida, Cornales, Cornaceae.
UCCUGGUGGAGCCCAAUUUUGGUCAAGUGGUGUAGUCCAUCUACCAAUAAUCCAUGUCUGUCAAUUUACACAGGUUCUAUGGGAUGAGCAUUAAUUAUUAUUUAGUUGUUGGUUUCUCAGCAAACAAACAACCAUAUAUGGAAUUAAUUGGAGUCAUCAAGAUAUUCCGACCCCAAUAGAUGAAAUGGACUAGUCUUUGGUUUAUUUAAAUGCAAGAAUGCUCAAUCAUAUUUUAUACCAUGAAAUGUAUGUUUCAGGACAGAUUUAGACCUUAUGCGAGGUCACAAAUGGGCCAAGAAGGGUGUCGGGACUUCAUAUCAACAAGCAUAGGCGAAACAGGCCUUAGCAGGGCAAAUCGAUCGACGUCUAGGGGUUUUACGUUGACUGGUAUCUUCUAUUGUGCUUUUUGUGCUUUUGGGUUUCACGUCGACCUGUAUCUUUUCUAUUAAUUUUUUUUUAUAUUUUAUUUUAUUUUGUAGUAACAUCGUUAAACAAAUAAAUAAAUAAAAAUUUCCAAUAUCAGUGUGCAUUAGUUUUUGGAGUUUGAAAAAUUUUUGUUUUUUUUCACUUUUUACUUUAUUUUUGUUAUUUAUUUAUUUUUAUCUUUACUUUUCUUUUUAUACUUUUAUUUUUAUUUUAUAUUUUUAUCUUUACUUGUCUAUUUCCGACGUAAGAGUAAUUUAAUCAAUUUAGGAUUUAAAUUUGUCAGAGUGAUCUAUUUGCACCUUAUUGAAACUAUAGGGGUAUUUUUUUGCACGAGAUGGACUUCCUCCGAUAGUAUCAUUUUCGGUCAUUUCACAAAAUUAUUUAUUUUUAUGUAUUUUAUAAAAUAGUGGAUAAUUUAGUUAACUAAGGGUUUAAAUUUAUCAAAGUAAUCUAUUUGUACCAAAUUGAAACUUUAAAGUUAUUUUUUUGCACGUAAGGAGUGUGAUAUACAUGUAAAUAUACUUUAUGGGCGUUUUCACAGAGACAGAGAGAGAGAGAGAGAGAGAGAGCAACCGAUCUUUUGCUUAAGAUCUUUUAUUUCAGAUCUUUUGCUUAAGAUCUUUAUUUUGGUAUAAAUCAUUUCAGUAGAGUAGGUAUACAUCACAAUAUGUCUAAAUUACAAAUUUGGAUGCUUAAUCCAAAUGUUUUUUUUAUUUUUAUUUUUUUUAUUUUAUGUUAUAACAAUUAAAAUAAAUGAAUCUGCCAUUCCUCUUGUUUUCUUAGAUUCUGUUUGACAAUAUUCAUCUUGAAUGGAUGAUAGUUUAUGUUUUAGUUGUCAAAUAGGGCAAUAUAAAAAUAAAAACUAGUGGCAAAAGUAUAUUUAUAUAUUUUAAAUAUAAAGUAUAGUGUAUAUGUAUUAUAUAAAAAAAAGCUCCUCUUUUUUGUCUUUUUCGCUUUCAUAUUAUUCCUUAAUUAAGCAAUUAGCAUUAAAAAAAAAAAGAAUCAAUAAGAAUUUGCAUAUCAUAAACUAGUUACAAAUACAACAAUUCUUUCUCACUCGUGGAGCAGAUCAACAAUUUAAUUGGACUAACCACUUUCAUUUAAUUUUUUCGCAAACUUUUCCAUAUGAACAUAAAACGUUUAGUUAUGUUAUGUUCAAUUUUUUAUUCUUUCAUUUGUGAACUUUGUAUUUAUUUAUUUUUGUAAUUCAUUGCAUUUUUAGGUGUUUUUAUCACUUAAUUCAUGAAAAGGUAAAACAAAACUGCGGAUGAGAAAAUUGGUGAAUUAUAGAUAUAACAUUUGUUUAUUGUAUUUGAUGAUGAAAUGGAAUUGGCGACAUGGAUAAUUCUAUUUCUCUUUUUUAUUUUACGUAAAAGUUAUUAAAAUAAAAUAAUAAUAUUUUUUUUCUUCCAUUCCUACAAUCCUUUUCUUUUUUCUUGUCAUACAUUGCCUCGCUCUGCUAACAGUUGUUGCCUUCAUCUUUUCUUUCUUUUGUAUUUAUCCAAAAACGCUUUUACAGCCAAAUCAGCACCUUAUUGGAAAGUAAAUUAAAUUUCUUUUCAUAUUUAGUCUUUUUAUAUAAGGAUAAUACUUAGUUCCUCACUAGUGAGGAUCUACAUCAUUCUUAUCGCAUAUGUGAUCUAAUGAAAAGAAAAUACGUCAUUUUUUAUUAAAUUGGCAAGAAAAAUAAAAUAAAUGGGAUCAUACCCUAAUGAGAUCAGGUAAAGUAGGUUCAACGAUUCUUAUUAGUUUUAUUUUUCAAGGAUUCAACGUUGCUCUUUGGUUCGUUCUCUUUACGGCACCGGCUUCAGCCCUUUCUCCCCACCAUAUUCUUCCUCAAGGUUCUAGUCCCGGACAUCAUCAUUCAAUUGGCAAAAAUAUUUAAAGGAGGUCAUGGCAAGAAAGUCAUAGAGGACAUUCCUCCUCAGCUGUAGAUAGAGUCGGGGCGCUUGUAUAGCAAACAAUGUAUAAUAGUGAGACAAUGUGUUGUAUAAUGUGGUUUAGUACAUCCCUGUUGUGUAAUAAACUCUAUUAUAGACUCUGAGAUUUUAUAGUUGUAAAUGAUGUAUCUUACUUGUAUAUUUUCCUACAUGGGACUGUAAUGGGAAUGGAUAGGUGAAUGUUGUGUA